Molecule: ribosomal RNA, 228 nt
Filed under: uncultured bacterium
Lineage: Bacteria
Description: partial 16S ribosomal RNA
Rfam family: Bacterial small subunit ribosomal RNA
Source: RNAcentral
UACGGAGGGAGCUAGCGUUGUUCGGAAUUACUGGGCGUAAAGCGCACGUAGGCGGCUUUGUAAGUUAGAGGUGAAAGCCUGGAGCUCAACUCCAGAAUUGCCUUUGAUACUGCAUGGCUUGAAUCCAGGAGAGGUGAGUGGAAUUCCGAGUGUAGAGGUGAAAUUCGAUAGAUAUUCGGGAAGAACACCAGUGGCGAAGGCGGCUCACUGGACUGGUAUUGACGCGUG